UACGUAGGGCGCAAGCGUUGUCCGGAAUUAUUGGGCGUAAAGAGCUCGUAGGCGGUUUGUCGCGUCUGCUGUGAAAACCUAAGGCUCAACCUUGGGCUUGCAGUGGGUACGGGCAGACUAGAGUGCGGUAGGGGUGACUGGAAUUCCUGGUGUAGCGGUGGAAUGCGCAGAUAUCAGGGAGGAACACCGAUGGCGAAGGCAGGUCACUGGGCCGCAAC
Molecule: ribosomal RNA, 218 nt
Filed under: uncultured bacterium
Lineage: Bacteria
Description: partial 16S ribosomal RNA
Rfam family: Bacterial small subunit ribosomal RNA
Source: RNAcentral